UACGUAGGGACCAAGCGUUGUCCGGAAUCAUUGGGCGUAAAGAGCGUGUAGGCGGCUUGUUAAGUCUUGCGUGAAAUCUCGGGGCUCAACCCCGAGCGGUCGUGAGAAACUGGCAGGCUAGAGUGCGGGAGAGGAGAGUGGAAUUCCUGGUGUAGCGGCGAAAUGCGCAGAUAUCAGGAAGAACACCCGUGGCGAAGGCGGCUCUCUGGAACGCAACUGACGCUGAGACGCGAAAGCGUGGGGAGCAAACAGG
This 253-nucleotide ribosomal RNA is filed under the name uncultured bacterium. RNAcentral describes it as "partial 16S ribosomal RNA". It matches the Rfam family "Bacterial small subunit ribosomal RNA", at positions 524 to 776 of the family's 1533-position model. The record is from RNAcentral.